Molecule: long non-coding RNA, 5825 nt
Organism: Ctenopharyngodon idella (grass carp)
Lineage: Eukaryota; Metazoa; Chordata; Actinopteri; Cypriniformes; Xenocyprididae
Exons: 2
Source: RefSeq, a predicted model, not a curated record
UUACCAAGGGUGCCAAUAAUUCUGACCAUAACUAGCAUUUUUAAAAAUAAUUUUUGUAACAAUGUAAAAGCCUUUACUGCUUAUUUUGAUCAACUGUAAUGCAUCCUUGCUGAAUGAAAGUAUUCAAGUUUGCAUGAAAUAAAAAAUUAACCCUAUUUUCAACAAACAUCUUAUGAAUAUUAAUCAAGGUUCGUACAGAUACUGUAAAAUGAAAGUCCAAGACGUUCAAGGACUUUUCAAACACUAUUUUUUGGGGUUUUCAAUAACUACAAUCAGAGAUCUCACUUAUCAAACAAUAUCUUUAUUAUCUUGCAAAUUCUAAAAAAGGUAUUUAGAUAAAUAAAUAUAUACUAAUAAAACAAAAUUUUACAAAUAAAUGGAGCACAUGCAAAGUAUGCAAUGACUGUGGCAACUUUAGGUAUGGGAACAUUAACAAAGUCCUACUACUUUCACUGCACAGAAGAGCAAAUAGAAAGAGGGCAUAAACUUCUUAAAUGAUUCUUAUUAACCCUUUAAACCCGAAGGCCCACAGGCACCACCUAGCUACAAUAAAAUUAAUAAUCAUAUUUUUAAAAACUCCUGCCUUGAUCAACACAAAAUACGGGUCAUUUGAAAGCGUAGAUGUACAAUGCGUACAAUGAAUGUAGCUUUUAUGAUUAACUCCUAAGUAGUGCAGAGUUAUUUACUGAUAAAUAAAAAAUAAUAACUUCAUAAUUUAUGAAAUACUUUUUUGUACUAUGUACUGCAAUGUGUCAAAAACAUCAUACAGCUCAGAUAGUCAUGUGUCAAUGUCGUUUGAAAGGUCUCACGGAGUAGCAAUUUGUUACGUUUUUGCUUGUAACAUCAUGAAACAUGCUUCGAUUGUGGAUAAUGGCACAUCAUUAUUUACAGCAGAUUACAAUUACAAUUAAAAUGAGUCCGUGAGAUUAAGAUCAACAUAAUCCAAUGCGUCGAUCACAAGAUAUUCCUCACGGAGUAACGUUUUCAAAAAGGCCCAUUAGGAGGGUGUCAAGUGCUAAACAAAAAGGCUAUACUGUAAAACUUUACUGUAAAUUUACAGGUAAUUUCUAACAGUAUUAUACUGUAUUUUCCUAAAACAGUAACAUGCUGUAUAUUUUACAGAAUGUCUGUAAAUAUACAGUAGUUUUCUGUUUUCAGUCGGUUUCACUCAUAAUACAGUAUAAUACUGUAGAGGCGUUGCAUUAUGGGAUUGAUUUUUUUUUUUUUUUUUUUCGUGCUCAUUUUUUAAAUUUCUAGGCCAGGCAUACAUUUUAGCUUCUCUCCCAACGCUUUUAGUGUUUCACGUCGACUCUUCAGGGUUUAAUGUUAUCAUUAAACGAUAUUUGAGUGAAUAUAGUGUGCAGUUUUAAGCUUUUGAAGCGUCAGUUUGCCUGAGACGCGGGAUGACUGGACGGCGCUGCUGAGAAGACGGAGAUGUUAUUUUCCGCCUGAUUAAUCAAAACGUUUGUGCCUGUGUCGAGAAGACGGAUAAACAAUUGUUCGGCUGAGAAUACGAUAAGUCAGUCUUUUCUGGAGCUUUUCAUUCGCGUUUCUACUUUGUCAUGAAUGGUUUGAUCUUGAAAUGUUAAACUUUUGUUUCUCAUGAGCAAACGGUUAACGUUACUGUUUCACGCAGUAACACUGAUGUUUCAUUUUAUAGACAAACCUAAGCAUAUGUAAUUCUUACAGAUUUUUAAACUGUUUCGUUUUUUUGCAUUUUUUUUCUCGUUUCAGGCUGAAUCAUCUGAUGUAGCUCCAUUGUUUACGUAAGUGUUGUGCUUAUUUUCACAUGUAGCCUAUCAGGUUUAUGACAAAGAAUUCAGUGAAUAAACGAUUUUAUUUUGUCAAUUAUUUUAAGCAUUAUUUUAAGAUGUAUCUUUUCUGAAGUGUAACACGACACAUUACUGAGAUCAUACGCUUAGCUGUGAGUCCUUGUGUUCACAAAAAUGCUAUUGUGAAUGAAUGCACAAUAUUCACUUUUUUCUCUCUCCCUCUCUCUCUCUCUUUGCUUUUCUGCUUUUAGGCUCUUUGACAUAUACCCUAAACAUGGCUCAAGAACCAGGAAGGGGGGGAAAUGACCUUCUUGAAAUAUGGUUUUGUUAACGCACUUUGACAUCAACCAUGAACACGGCUCAAGAAACAAGAAGGGAAAGUGACUGGCAACACUGCAAAAAAGGAGCAGUACUGAAAAACUUGUAGGCCUACUAUUUGUUUUUACUCCACAUUUGGAAAAAUGUUAAAAGUAAAUAAGAUUGCUGUACUGUUCAUUGAUAACUGUUGAGUGCAUUUAAAAUGUUGACCUUUCAAUGUUGCAAUUUUCUGCUUUUUUCCCGUAGAAAAAAAUAAAAGUUUUAAAACUCAGAGUAUGUUGCUUUCCAUUUCCUUUGCCAUAACAUAAUAACAAAAGUAUAUUUUUUAAUUAUUUAAUGACAAAUAUAAGUGCAGUAUGAAAAGCUGUAUAAAUGCAGUUAAUAGCUGUAGAUAAACAGUAUAAUGCUGUAAAAGUACAUAAUAUUACAGCCUUCAGGGCUUAAAGGGUUAAAAGAUGUAAUAACAGAUGAAAACAAAGGAUUUAUUUGUAAAAUGUGAAGCAUUUCAUGUUAAUUAAUAAUAAAGUAUUUAUAAUAAUUAUAUUGCAAUCUAAUGACUUUUUUUUUGCAAUAAAAAUAUUGCUUACUGCUUUUUCCUCUUUUUUAAUACUCAAAUUUCAGAUAUAAGGUAUUAUUUUGUCAGGCCCAACCUGACAAGCAAAGCAUCUCCGGGGUGAAGCUGAAUCAGAUGCUUCACUUCAAAGAGAUCAAAUCCACUGACCAGCGCUGCCGCUCGUCAUGGUAAAUCCCCUUAACCAUUGAAAGGAUACUAUGACAAAGAUAUCACUUUCCUCAUUCAAAGUGAUUUUUUUUUUAUGAAUAUAUGACUGACCUGAAGAAUGAAAGUUGUGUCAUAUACUUGGAAAUAUAUGAGCAAUAUCACACUCAUAGCCAUGCAAACAUAUAUCAGACGGGUUGCAGUGUUAAUUUUGCGUGAAAAGAUUGUAUGUGUUUUAGCGAAAAAAUUAAUCACUAAAAUUCCAUAUAUAUUGUCUUUCAAUAAUUCAAGCACUUUUAGAGUACCUUUUAAUAAAUAUGGCUGUUUACAAGGGUUUUCAAGGACUCAAAUUUCAAAAAGUUAAAUUCAAGUACUUUCAGCACUUUUAAGCACCUUGUACGAACCCUGAUUAAUACAUGCAUAUGUUUUUCUUUUCUUUUUAACGUUUUGACCUCGUAAUGUUUAAUUAAAAUGUCAUAAUUAGACCUCCCAGUGAAAACAACAGACUUCUCUCUGGUGACAUAUGCAGUACCUCUCCAAUAACUUAAUCCACUUAAACCCUACCCCUUCAAGCUCCCUUUCAUCUCCCUCCACUUUUGAGUGCAAUGCAGAUCUCAAAAUCCAAUCAACAAUACAAAAUAAAAAUUGGUCGCUACUUCAGUUUCAUUGCGACUUUAAUUUCUUAAAAAAAAAAAAAAAACUGACUCUAAACAUUUGAAUGGUAGUGUAUGUUUGCAUUACUUAAAUGUGUUACAUAAAUGUUAUUGCUGACUACAGAGUCACAUAACAACAUGAGUUCUGCAGACGCCAUCAACGACAGGAGGUCAACAAAAUUUUGUGAGAUUGAUUUAUUUAUUUAUUUAUUUAUUUUUAUUUUUUAAGGAAUUUAAAAAAAUUAGGGGUGCAACGGUACAUGCAUUUGUCCUGAACCAUCACGGUAAGGACGUCACGGUUCGGUGCAAACAGUCAGAUAAUGAAUACAUUCAGUCACAGGCGAUCCACACUCCAAUCCAGAAAGGGUGCUCACAGUAAUGCAAUGCUGUUUGCUAACCAACACAACAGGAAAAAGAGCAGAUGAAGAAGAGAAGAUCACUGCACCAACCCAAAACAAGAAUGGCAACUUGCCAUUGGCGAGUUCAGAUGGCAAGUAAGAGCUUGCUAGUAGCCUACACACUGAGUUUCGAUUCAUUUUUGUGAUACGCUCCAUGCACAAAUUUCACAGAAAGGAAACCGGGACGGUGUACACAAAUAAAAGUAGACCCUUUAGUUUCAAAUGAUUUUUUACUUUUAUCUGUAUGACCUCAAGUGACGAAGUAUUUUAAGUAGGGCUGCACGAUUAAUCGAAAUUAAACCGAAUGCGAUUUGUCAAAGGCGCAGAUUGUCAGUGAAGCAUGGCUAAAUUCAGUAGUAAAUGCUGCUCCAUCUGAAUGCCAGAGGGCGCUCUCACGCAGAAACUCCAAAUAUGCCCCGAAGAAGAUAAAGCACAUCAUUCCAGGAAAUCCCUAUGGGCAUCAUACUAUUGCUAUAGCUGAAUAAACAGAAGAUUGAAAUGCCUUGAUUGAUUAAACAUGACUAAUAAACACACAGCUACGACAAUAUAUGGUUUAUCUGAGUUCUUCAAGCCUUUUUUUGAUUUUUGUCAUAAUAAUAAAGUAUAUUUACAAUGCAAUGCUAAUCAACACAGCCAUCACUGUAUAGAAUACUAUGAAAUAAUAUGUUGUGUGCCUUAUUUUGUGUAAGAAGCCACAUCAUCUCACAGAAGGAUGUUAUUUUCAAACACUCAGCUGAAGUUAUGAAGUGAGUUUGGAGCAUGCACGGCGCCAGAAUUUUUUCUCUACCGGUGCUAAGGGGGGGCUAGACCAAUAUGUGGGGGUGCUAAGAAAAUAAUCGAUAUUCAUGACGUCAGAGUUACUUCAUAAAUUGUCGUUUUUACACACAUUACUUUUUUUUUUUUUUAUAUACACACAACCCGUCCUGUACAGCUAUGAUCAGCUGUUCGUCCAUCUCGGCUGAGCUUUCGAUGUUUUGUUAUGGAAAGGCCGAAGCUGAUCACUUCUAUUAUGAGCACGCUUGCCGCGCGUCUACAUUUGAAACAACGAACUUGUGAACAUGUUGAGGGUCUAUAAAUUUUGCUGCUAUGUGAAAAAAAUCCAACAAAACACAACACAACUUGGCUUGUAACAGUACAUUGUCACAACUACUGUUAAGGUGUCAUUUGUUGUGACAGACAUGAGGUUUAGGCACAUAAUCAAGGUUGUUUAUUCCACUCUGAGUGAUUGGGACACAUGCAUGUGCAGGAUGCAUGAGAAUCUGGGUUUUCUCAGAAGAACAUGUAAAGAACCCAUACUGUGCAAGAGCCAGAAACACCCACCCAUGGCUGCAUGCUUUUAUUUUUUUAUUUUUUAUUUUUGUAACACUGACAAUGUCCACAAAAUAUACUUAAUUACAUACAAACACACAAAACACUUGUGCACACGUGUAUCACUAUAUUAGUGAGGACAUCUCAUAGACUUUCAUUGUUCUGUUAUUUGGUUAAUGACAUUUUCUCAAUAACAUAAUUUCCUAAACAUAACCAUCACAGAAACCUGUCUAAAACACUACAUUUAAAUACAAACAAGAGAGGUGUGGCUCACAAAUCGGUGUUAAACAGGUUUCGCUAUAUUAAUGAGAACAUUAUCACCUCACAAGUGUUGUCAAACCUGUAUACACAUAUGGACACACAUUCCUACCCAGCUACCCAGUGUUCAUUCCUGUUAGGGUUAAGGUGAAUUUUUUUUUUCUUUUUUUUUUUCUAAAUAAUAAUAAUAAUAAUAAUAAUAAAGUUAAAACACUAUUUAAAUGAAUAUUUAUUAUGUUUGGUCAAUCAUUUGUCCCAUUGUUUAACAAACUGCAUUAUUUACAAAAAAAAAAAAAAAAAAAAAGGUUUGAGCCACCUUUAAAAGGAAAAUAAUGACUUUGUGUUUUUAGAAAAAUACACGUAUAACAUAUAUAGUGAUUUUUUUUUUUUUUUUUUUUUU